AGCAGCCGCGGUAAUUCCAGCUCCAAUAGCGUAUAUUAAAGUUGUUGCAGUUAAAAAGCCCGUAGUUGAAUUUCGGGGUUAGUAGGUUGGUCAUGCCUCUGGUAUGUACUGGUCUCACUGAUUCCUCCUUCCUGAUGAGCCGUAAUGCCAUUAAUUUGGUGUUGCGAGGAAUUUGGACUGUUACUUUGAAAAAAUUUAGAGUGUUUAAAGCAAGCUAACGCUUGAAUACAUUAGCAUGGAAUAAUGAAAUAGGACGUUCGAUCCUAUUUUGUUGGUUUCUAGGAUUGACGUAAUGAUUAAUAGGGAUAGUUGGGGGCAUUAGUAUUCAAUUGUCAGAGGUGAAAUUCUUGGAUUUAUUGAAGACUAACUACUGCGAAAGCAUUUGCCAAGGAUGUUUUCAUUAAUCAAGAACGAAAGUUAGGGGAUCGAAGACGAUCAGAUACCGUCGUAGUCUUAACCAUAAACUAUGCCGACUAGGGAUCGGAUGAUGUUAAUUUUUUUAAUGACUCAUUCGGCGCCU
RNAcentral lists this unclassified non-coding RNA (520 nucleotides) under uncultured Glomus. Its description in RNAcentral is "SSU rRNA". It matches the Rfam family "Eukaryotic small subunit ribosomal RNA", at positions 569 to 1088 of the family's 1831-position model. The record is from RNAcentral. Lineage: Eukaryota; Fungi; Glomeromycota; Glomeromycetes; Glomerales; Glomeraceae.